AUGAACGCUGGCGGCAGGCCUAACACAUGCAAGUCGAACGGAGUUAUAUUGUAGCUUGCUAUGGUAUAACUUAGUGGCAGACGGGUGAGUAAUGUAUAGGAAUCUACCUAGUAGUACGGAAUAAUUGUUGGAAACGGCAACUAAUACCGUAUACGCCCUACGGGGGAAAAAUUUAUUGCUAUUAGAUGAGCCUAUAUUAGAUUAGCUAGUUGGUGGAGUAAUAGCCUACCAAGGCAAUGAUCUAUAGCUGAUCUGAGAGGAUGAUCAGCCACACUGGAACUGAGAUACGGUCCAGACUCCUACGGGAGGCAGCAGUGGGGAAUAUUGGACAAUGGGCGAAAGCCUGAUCCAGCCAUGCCGCAUGAGUGAAGAAGGCCUUUGGGUUGUAAAGCUCUUUUAGUGAGGAAGAUAAUGACGGUACUCACAGAAGAAGUCCUGGCUAACUCCGUGCCAGCAGCCGCGGUAAUACGGAGAGGGCUAGCGUUAUUCGGAAUUAUUGGGCGUAAAGGGCGCGUAGGCGGAUUAGUAAGUUAAAAGUGAAAUCCCAAGGCUCAACCUUGGAAUUGCUUUUAA
This 573-nucleotide ribosomal RNA is filed under the name uncultured bacterium. RNAcentral's name for it is "bacterial SSU rRNA". It matches the Rfam family "Bacterial small subunit ribosomal RNA", at positions 29 to 630 of the family's 1533-position model. The record is from RNAcentral.